RNAcentral lists this ribosomal RNA (415 nucleotides) under Hippolyte acuta. Its description in RNAcentral is "partial 16S ribosomal RNA". It matches the Rfam family "Bacterial large subunit ribosomal RNA", at positions 1928 to 2553 of the family's 2925-position model. The record is from RNAcentral. Lineage: Eukaryota; Metazoa; Arthropoda; Malacostraca; Decapoda; Hippolytidae.
GGGCUGCGGUAACUUGACCGUGCUAAGGUAGCAUNAUCAGUAGUCUUUUAAUUGAUGACUGGAAUGAAUGGCGUUACGAGAAAUAAGCUGUCUUAAAAAUAAAAAUUGAAUUUNACCUUCAAGUGAAAAGGCUUGAAUACUACUAAGGGACGAUAAGACCCUAUAAAACUUAACAUGAUUGUCUUUUCUGANGGUUAAAGUUGAAUUAAGAAUGGGUGUAUUUUGUUUGGUUGGGGCGACCUAGAUAUAAUUNAGUAACUGUCUGAAAAUAAAAAUAAUUAUAAUUUGGUUCAUGAACCUUUAAUAAGGAUUAGAAGAAAAAGUUNCUUUAGGGAUAACAGCGUAAUUUUUUCAGAGAGUUCUUAUCGAAGAAAGUAGUUGCGACCUCGAUGUUGAAUUAAAGUUNCUCUUAAGC